Non-coding RNA from Pelodiscus sinensis (Chinese soft-shelled turtle), 1590 nucleotides. The record is from RefSeq and is a predicted model, not a curated record. NCBI's taxonomy places the organism in Eukaryota, Metazoa, Chordata, Testudines, Trionychidae.
UUUGGAAUGAAAACAAAUUUCAAAAUUAUGGAUUUUCCUAUGAAAUGGAAGUUCUGUGUCUCACAUUGCUGUAACAUCCUUCCCUCUCCAGAAAAAUACAGGGCUAUCUAAGCCCCGCCUACCAUCCUGUCAGUAACUAAGGGCUGGUAGGGCUGUGUAAUAUAUAGAUCUUUAUUAGUGUCCCCUUGUAGCAGGACAGGUAACUACACCAACCUGGCUCCUUCCUAUACAUCUGAUGCUGCAUUUGUCCAGUCCUUUUUAUGACCUAAUUCCUCCUGGCCAGGUCCUUAAUAGUCUCUGACCCUUUGAGUUCUAUAUCUUUAUUAGUGGUUAAUCAUCCCUAGUUCUCUUGGUUUUAGGAGCUUCUUCUUUAAAAGUCCCUGGCUGGGGGAGGUAGGACUUUCCCCAGCUUUUAGCUCAGGACCCAUGUUUGGAACAGCUAGAACUUGAUGUUCCCAGAGCUAUUUCCUACCUCUUAGCUUCACCCACUUUGGAGUAUUGGCUUGUCUGACAGCUUCUCACCAGUUUGCUGGAGCCUUCCUCUUUUGCUAUUCCCCUCCCUCUCUAGCAACUACCACAUCCACCUGCCUUGCAGCCAUUUCCUUUUCAUAGAAGCUUUGGUACUGCCCAUCAACUAUGUCUGAGGAGACAGGCAAAUGCUUCUUUAACUUUCGCUGUUGAACUAGCAUGGGGUAUAUAGACUUUAGAGGGGAUAGGAUAAGGAACCCAGCACUUGGGAAUGCUCUCUUUGUUGACAUAUCAGAGCACAUUGGUGGCAUGCUAGGGUGCAAAGGAUUAACUUUGUUUCUUUUCUGCUGUGUUUCAUGUUGUUUUUAGAACUGAAUCUGAGCGAUAAAACUGACAUCUUGAUCUGCUUUUGAAUUUGUAAGUUCUGUGUAUGUGUGGAACUUGGGCUCCAGUUAAAUCUAUAAUAGAGAUUCUGACUUCAGGAUCUGGACAUAUAGACAAAUAAAGAUGAAUCGUCAAAGAACAGUAGAGGGAUGUGCACUUAACACAAUGGGCAGUAGAAGAAAAGUGAUAAAAUGCGAUGACAUUAGUUGAAAAGCUUUCUGGUUGGAGAUUCCUGCUACCUUUUCAUUCAAUAAGACCAACUCACCAUCUCCAACUUGUAAGAAUGAAGAGUAAGAAAGGAAAUUGAAGUUGUCAUCCUAAACACCAUGUCAGUAUUUCAAUUAACUCAGAAGAACUGAGGGUCAGGUUGAAUCUGUCUGUAAUUGUUAGUGCAUUUAGAAUAUUUCAGAAUCUAAUUUUUUCGAAGUAGCUUUCUGUUACUUUAUCCCACAUUGUCCCUUUAUUGCAGCUUUUUGACUACCUAAAAUAAUGGGAUUUCUUUUCUUUAGACUUGCAACAUCUGAAAAUAAAUGGCAAGCAUUUUAAUGUUUAGGACAUUGUGUUUUAAAAUAUAUUUGUAACCAUUGGGUAAAAAAAGAAAUUCAGUUACUGUUGAUUUUUCUAACAUCAUGAUUUUCUAAUAAAGAUUUUCUUCCAAACAAAGGUAUGUUAAUCAUGCCACAUAACAUAACAAUUUUGUAUUAAAAUGUACAUGGAAAUGAGAACACAGGUGUGGAU